UACGUAGGGUGCAAGCGUUGUCCGGAAUUAUUGGGCGUAAAGAGCUCGUAGGCGGUUUGUCGCGUCGGCUGUGAAAGCCCGGAGCUCAACUCCGGGUCUGCAGUUGAUACGGGCAGACUUGAGUGUUGCAGGGGAGACUGGAAUUCCUGGUGUAGCGGUGAAAUGCGCAGAUAUCAGGAGGAACACCGGUGGCGAAGGCGGGUCUCUGGGCAACAACUGACGCUGAGGAGCGAAAGCGUGGGGAGCGAACAGG
RNAcentral lists this ribosomal RNA (253 nucleotides) under uncultured bacterium. RNAcentral's name for it is "partial 16S ribosomal RNA". It matches the Rfam family "Bacterial small subunit ribosomal RNA", at positions 524 to 776 of the family's 1533-position model. The record is from RNAcentral.